This is a transfer RNA of 89 nucleotides. It matches the Rfam family "tRNA". From Rfam's summary of the family: Transfer RNA (tRNA) molecules are approximately 80 nucleotides in length. The record is from Rfam.
CUCUACAUAGCUCAGCUGGAAGAGCGCAAGACUGUAAUGUACGCUUCAACGCUAUCUUGAGGCCCGCGGUUCGAUCCCGCGUGUGGAGA